This 1312-nucleotide ribosomal RNA is filed under the name metagenome. Its description in RNAcentral is "bacterial LSU rRNA". It matches the Rfam family "Bacterial large subunit ribosomal RNA", at positions 1180 to 2557 of the family's 2925-position model. The record is from RNAcentral.
GAUUAAAUCAUAUACCGAAGCUAUGGAUUGAUAGAGUUUUCGAACACUAUCAGUGGUAGGAGAGCGUAAUCAGUGCUGUGAAGCCGAACUGAAAAGGAUGGUGGAGCGCUGAUUAGUGAGAAUGCAGACACGAGUAGCGAUAAACCAGAUGAGAAUUCUGGUCGCCGUAAACCCAAGGUUUCCUGGGCCAGGUUCGUCCUCCCAGGGUUAGUCUGGACCUAACACGAGGCCGUAAGGCGUAGUGGAUGGACAGAAGGUUAAAUAUUCCUUCACCAGCUAGGAUUAAGGCGUGGAGUGCACAGAGAGAAAAGUAACUAGGCAAUCGAGUGCCGAGCUUAGCCUUCGGGCGAAGCGUAUUACCAGACAAUCUGUCUAGAAAAGCUCCACGUUGUUUCCCUGGUUGCCAGUACCGUAAACCGACACAGGUGGGUGGGUCGAGCAGACCAAGGCGCGCGAGAGAAACCUCUCUAAGGAACUCGGCACAUUAGCCCCGUAACUUCGGGAGAAGGGGUGCCUAUUUAAUAGGUCUCAGUAAAUUGCGUUUAGCGACUGUUUAACAAAAACACAGCACUCUGCUAAGUCGUCAAGACGACGUAUAGGGUGUGACACGUGACCAAUGCGGAAAGAUCAAGGCAACUUGUUAGCCGUAAGGCGAAGCUCGGAACCUAAGUCCCCGUGAAUGUCGGCCGUAACUAUAACGGUCCUAAGGUAGCGAAAUUCCUUGUCGGGUAAGUUCCGACCUGCACGAAUCGUGUAACGACUGAACGACUGUCUCGGAGAGGAUCUCGGCGAAACUGUAACGGCGGUGAAGAUGCCGCCUGCCCGCAGUAGGACGGAAAGACCCUAUGCACCUUUACUGUAAGCUCGUAUUGGGUUCUGAUUAAUAAUGCUUAGCGUAGGUGGGAGACUUUGAAGGCGUGGCUUCGGUUGCGCUGGAGUCGAAAUGUGAAACACCACUCUUAGUUAAUUAGGAUUCUAACCCCGAUUCCUGUGAAGCCAGGCGGGGGACAGUGCGUGCGGGUCAGUUUGACUGGGGCGGUUUCCUCCCAAAGAGUAACGGAGGAGCGCGAAGGUACUCUCAGUACGGUUUGCAACCGUGCGUCGAGCGUAUGGGUAGAAGAGUGCUUAACUGUGAGACCCACAAGUCGAGCAGGUACGAAAGUAGGCCAAAUGAUCCGAUAGUUUAAUGUGGAAUUGCUAUCGCUCAACGGACAAAAGGUACGCUAGGGAUAACAGGCUGAUCGCUGCCAAGAGUUCAUAUCGACGCAGCGGUUUGGCACCUGAUGUCGGCUCAUCGCAUCCUGGGGCUGAA